GCAGAAGUGCCGAGUCCCGGCCGGGGGCAGCCUCGCCGCCGCUCAGCUCGGGAAUCCCUGCCCCCCACCAGCACCUCAGUGGGGGAUACUGCAAGUUCAAGGUGGUUUAAGGCGUGAAUGAAUGAAGGAGCAAGCAGUAAGCCCCGACAGCAAGGCCACCACAGCCCUCGCCCCACAGGGACGCCUGAGCAAGGACCCAAGCAGGGGACAAGCAGGCUCACCCCGCCCUUGCGGGGCUGACCACGAGGCCCCGUCCGGUGGAACACGCCAUGACGCUUCAGGAGGCUCAUGUAGCUGGCGCCGUAUGGGACAGCGGGGGAGAGAGAAAAUGCACAGCCCAGGGAAUGUGGAGACAGGCCCAGCGCCAGGCAUGGGGGCCGGAAGGAGCAGCCGGGGAGCAGGGGGCAGGGCCUGGAGUCCCGCCUUGCAGGGCACCUCGCGCACGAGGGGAGUUCACCACACAAGCUGAGCGGAGGGCGGACGCAGGAGAGCAGCGGUUUCUCGGAAGCCAAGGGCGGUCAUGGAGCCCCACGCCACAGCGCUUCCCACGGGGCCACACCAUCCGGUCUGCGGAGGGGGCUGCAUUGCCGGGAAGGACCAUCUGAUUCUGGAUUCCAGCCUCACCCUGGGCCACCGCUGAGUGUCCCAAGUGGCCCCUUAGCCCCCAGGGCCAGGCGGCAUCCCAAUCCCCUAGGGAUGUCUGUGCUCAGAAUGUGGCACACACGCCCCGGCAGGGCCAUCCUCCUCCUCCUGCACCCGCCACAGCCGUGGAUUCGGGGUCUCUAUCGUGGGCAGAAAUUCACACAGUCAAGGUGAGGGUCCCAGGAGCAGCUGUGACCAGGCCCCGGCUGCCAGGGAGAGGGGGUCUUCAGCCGACGGGGCAGACACCCUGAGAUGGACCCUUGUCCAGGGGAGGGCCCUGCCACCCACAAUUCCUUGGCAUUCCUGCACCAGCAGGACGGGCUGAGGGAGGCGCCUCACCAGUGCCAGCGCCCAGCAUCACUGUGCCCCGGUGGAGGGGGAGGCCCUUCCGAGCCUGGGCCUGGGUGUGGAUGAGGGCAGGUCUCUCACCUCUCUGACCUCAGCUUCCUCAACUGGGAAGGGGGGCCACAGCACCCCCUUAGGGGUGAUGAGGAAGUGGGAGCUCAGGGAGGACCCCGGGCAGGGCUGCCUCCUCACCUCUCUUCGGCCUUUGGACACUGGAGCUCAGAGGACCAAGUGAAUGAAUGAAUGACUCGAUCAAUCAACUGAUCCAUGAAUCCAUGGACCCCUGAACAGCUGGACAGCUGGGCUGUGGGCAGGACAGGGGACUCUGGCUGAAGCCGCGUUCAUAUGUGUUCAGCUUUGUGAGUGGGGCGAGGUUGAGGGCUUAUUCAGUGGGGGAGGUGCACGGCAGGGCCAGUACCCUUGGAGGGUCAGGCCACAGGGGCGGGGACACCUGCCAGGAUGCCCAACCCCAGAGGCAGUGGGAGCUGUUGGGGAGCCGUGGUCCCAGUCAGCGGUGGCUUGAUGAGGGCUGCUCCCACUUCAUCCGCAGGAUUCCAGCCGCAGCUACCCCACACCCGAGCUGUCCCUAGUCGCCCACCGCGGCCGGACAAAGCCCCAGCAGCCAAGGUGCUCCGUGGGGAGGGUUUCUUGGGUUUCUUGAAGCCAGUAUUUCCCAUAGUAUCUUACGUCCCAGCAGAGGCCUCCACUGUGCCCGGACCAGCGGCCCACUCAGUGAGUCGAGUGUGCACCUGGCACCCCUCUUUCUGGAAAUCCACGAACAAUGGGCUCCCAGCAGAGGACUGAGGCUGAGCAGGCCACUUCCCUGGAGCUGACCCCACAGCUGUGUAGGUACAGGGUGGCCGUGAACACUUAGGGCUCUCUCGGGCUGUGCGCUUCUUGUUCACUGCAAGGAGCAGGGUGUUGGCUCCUGACCAAGCCCUGUCACUGCUGCCCAGCCACACGUGGGGCCCCUUCACCCACCCCUGACCACCUCAUGCAGGUGAAGCCACUGUGGAAACAGCCUGGCAGUCCCUUGAAAAAUGAAGUCAUAAACCCCAGCAAUUGCACUCCUGGGCCUCUGACAGAGCUUGCACGUCCCCUCCAAAGCUCGUGUUAAGCUGUGAGCCCCAGUGCCGGAGGUGGGGCCUGGUGUGUUUGGGUUCUGGGGGUGGAUCCCUCAUGGCUGGGUGCCAUGAACCCACUCACCACAGUGAGUUCUCACGAGAUCUGGUUGUUGAGAAGUGUGUCAUACCUCCCCCACAACUCUCUGUCUUUUGUUCCGGCUCUGGCAAUGUAACAAGCCUGCUCCUCCUUCGCCUUCUGCCAUGACUGUAAGCUUUCUGAGGGCUGACCAGAAGCCCAGCAGAUGCCAGCACCAUGCUUCCUAUACAGCCUGCAGAACCGUGAGCCAGCUAAACCUCUCCUCAUAAAUCACCGAGCCCCAGGUUUAUCUUUACAGCAAUGCAAGACCUGACUAAUACAGCACCAGCUCCCCAAAAUAAAAAGAAAUAUUCAAACAAAUAAGCGCACAGAAGUGUUCCCAGCAGCACUAUUCACAGCAGCCAAAAGGCGGAGGAGCCACAGGCUUGUCAGCUGAUGACAGAUAAAGAAAGCAUGGCCUGUCAUCCCAGCACUUUGGGAGGCCGAGGUGGGUGGAUCACCUGAGGUUGGGAGUUCAAGACCAGCCUGGCCAACAUGGUGAAACCCAGUCUCUACUAAAAAUAUAAAAAUUAGCUGGGUGUGAUGAUGAGCGCCUGUAGUCCCAGCUACUUGGAAGGCUGAGGAACAAGAAUCGCUUGAACCCGGGAGGCAGAGGUCGCAGUGAACCGAGAUC
This 2821-nucleotide long non-coding RNA is filed under the name Homo sapiens (human). Its description in RNAcentral is "non-protein coding MIR1-1HG-AS1:36". The record is from RNAcentral. Lineage: Eukaryota; Metazoa; Chordata; Mammalia; Primates; Hominidae.